Molecule: ribosomal RNA, 450 nt
Filed under: uncultured bacterium
Lineage: Bacteria
Description: bacterial SSU rRNA
Rfam family: Bacterial small subunit ribosomal RNA
Source: RNAcentral
AGCGAACGCUGGCGGCAGGCCUAAAACAUGCAAGUCGAACGCCGUAGCAAUACGGAGUGGCAGACGGGUGAGUAACACGUGGGAACGUGCCCUUUGGUUCGGAACAACACAGGGAAACUUGUGCUAAUACCGGAUAAGCCCUUACGGGGAAAGAUUUAUCGCCAAAGGAUCGGCCCGCGUCUGAUUAGCUAGUUGGUGGGGUAACGGCCCACCAAGGCUACGAUCAGUAGCUGGUCUGAGAGGAUGAUCAGCCACACUGGGACUGAGACACGGCCCAGACUCCUACGGGAGGCAGCAGUUAGGAAUCUUGGACAAUGGGCGCAAGCCUGAUCCAGCCAUGCCGCGUGAGUGAUGAAGGCCUUAGGGUUGUAAAGCUCUUUCAGCGGGGAAGAUAAUGACGGUACCCGCAGAAGAAGCCCCGGCUAACUUCGUGCCAGCAGCCGCCGUAAC